UACGUAGGGGGCAAGCGUUGUCCGGAAUCAUUGGGCGUAAAGAGCGUGUAGGCGGCUUGGUAAGUCCGCUGUGAAAGUCCAGGGCUCAACCCUGGAAUGCCGGUGGAAACUGUCAAGCUUGAGUCCGGAAGAGGCGAGUGGAAUUCCUGGUGUAGCGGUGAAAUGCGCAGAUAUCAGAAGGAACACCAAUGGCGAAGGCAGCUCGCUGGGACGGUACUGACGCUGAGACGCGAAAGCGUGGGGAGCAAACAGG
RNAcentral lists this ribosomal RNA (253 nucleotides) under uncultured bacterium. RNAcentral's name for it is "partial 16S ribosomal RNA". It matches the Rfam family "Bacterial small subunit ribosomal RNA", at positions 524 to 776 of the family's 1533-position model. The record is from RNAcentral.